AUUGAACGCUGGCGGCAUGCUUUACACAUGCAAGUCGAACGGCAGCGCGGGCUUCGGCCUGGCGGCGAGUGGCGAACGGGUGAGUAAUGCAUCGGAACGUGCCCAGCAGUGGGGGAUAGCCCGGCGAAAGCCGGAUUAAUACCGCAUACGACCUGAGGGUGAAAGCGGGGGACCGAAAGGCCUCGCGCUAUUUGAGCGGCCGAUGUCGGAUUAGCUAGUUGGUUGGGUAAAGGCUUACCAAGGCGACGAUCCGUAGCUGGUCUGAGAGGACGACCAGCCACACUGGGACUGAGACACGGCCCAGACUCCUACGGGAGGCAGCAGUGGGGAAUUUUGCACAAUGGGGGAAACCCUGAUCCAGCCAUGCCGCGUGCGGGAAGAAGGCCUUCGGGUUGUAAACCGCUUUUGUUCGGGAAGAAAUACUCAGGGCUAAUACCCCGGGGGGAUGACGGUACCGGAAGAAUAAGCACCGGCUAACUACGUG
RNAcentral lists this ribosomal RNA (484 nucleotides) under uncultured bacterium. Its description in RNAcentral is "partial 16S ribosomal RNA". It matches the Rfam family "Bacterial small subunit ribosomal RNA", at positions 29 to 507 of the family's 1533-position model. The record is from RNAcentral.